This 315-nucleotide long non-coding RNA is filed under the name Rosa chinensis. RNAcentral's name for it is "sRNA RchiOBHm_Chr5g0060291". Lineage: Eukaryota; Viridiplantae; Streptophyta; Magnoliopsida; Rosales; Rosaceae. The record is from RNAcentral.
GCGGAGCCGCUGUCCUCUUUGGUCGUUCUAUGCUUCUAGGCUCAUAUCCGACAUCUUGGAGCAUCAUCUGAGGUCCGGGGAAGCUCUGCUCAUUAGGUUGGUUGCAUUGAGAAGUUUGGAGUGGGUGGAAUGUGGAGGUGAUCAAUAACAGGACAAGGUUGCUUCAUUCUGUGUUGUGAAGUGAAGGCAGUAGACUCAAGGAUCAAUCCUCAAUCCUAUAAGUAAAGGUAAGCUGGAAGUUGUGUUGAAAAUUGACUUGGAAUCCAUAAGUGGAGUAUGAUUGUAAAUGUUGGGAUUGAACUAGUUUCGGUCUGA